This 497-nucleotide ribosomal RNA is filed under the name uncultured bacterium. RNAcentral describes it as "partial 16S ribosomal RNA". It matches the Rfam family "Bacterial small subunit ribosomal RNA", at positions 28 to 507 of the family's 1533-position model. The record is from RNAcentral.
GAUGAACGCCGGCGGCGUGCCUAAUACAUGCAAGUCGAGCGAACGGACGAGAAGCUUGCUUUUCUGAUGUUAGCGGCGGACGGGUGAGUAACACGUGGAUAACCUACCUAUAAGACUGGGAUAACUUCGGGAAACCGGAGCUAAUACCGGAUAAUAUUUUGAACCGCAUGGUUCAAAAGUGAAAGACGGUCUUGCUGUCACUUAUAGAUGGAUCCGCGCUGCAUUAGCUAGUUGGUAAGGUAACGGCUUGCCAAGGCAACGAUGCAUAGCCGACCUGAGAGGGUGAUCGGCCACACUGGAACUGAGACACGGUCCAGACUCCUACGGGAGGCAGCAGUAGGGAAUCUUCCGCAAUGGGCGAAAGCCUGACGGAGCAACGCCGCGUGAGUGAUGAAGGUCUUCGGAUCGUAAAACUCUGUUAUUAGGGAAGAACAUAUGUGUAAGUAACUGUGCACAUCUUGACGGUACCUAAUCAGAAAGCCACGGCUAACUACGUG